Molecule: long non-coding RNA, 1123 nt
Filed under: Takifugu rubripes (torafugu)
Lineage: Eukaryota; Metazoa; Chordata; Actinopteri; Tetraodontiformes; Tetraodontidae
Description: lncRNA (ENSTRUG00000027616.1)
Source: RNAcentral
AUGGAACGUAAAAAACAAUGGUUUGACACACUGAAAAAUGAAAUUAGCAACAGUCCUCUUGUGUCAAAUGUGGCUUUUGGUUUUAUCCUCAUGGGACUAGAGAAGCUGGUGGAGCUGGAGUUUCAGUGUCCUUGCAAUCCUAAAUGGAACGGACUGUUUUCAUCAGCAUUCUUCAUCAUUCCCGCCAUCAUGGCCUUCAUCUUGAUGUUGAUCAUUCAAGGACGCAGAUGUGAUGAGUCCAGCAGGUUGAUCACUCAAGGAUACAGACGUUAUGAGUCCAGCAGGUUGAUCAUUCAAGGAUGCAGAUGGGAUGAGUGGUUCAAGAAGACUGUGUCCAGUUCCGUGCCUGCUAUCGUGUGGCUGAUCUCGUUGUUCCUCGACGGCCAGUACUUCGCCUGUGCUAUGACAGACUGGGAGGGUAGAUUUGUACUCGUUGACAAGGCAGCUCCACAGAAGUGGUGUAAGCCAAUUAGUGAAGGAAAUUUCACCACACAAGAGCUGAUGCUCCGCUCACAAGAGUGGAUUUUUAAGUCUCAGAACACAAAACAUCGUACUAGAGCAGCAAAGGUCAUGAGAAUGAGCAGCGUGAUUCCAGCUAGAAGAGCAUCACGUCUACAGAGUGAUAGGAAUACCAGGGCAGCCUGUAGGACUCAGUCCUCAGGUGAGCUGCACCUUCUGUGUCUCAUGACAAACUCUAUCCAGAAGAGGGCGCUGUCCAUUGGCUUUAUCGGCGCGUCUCUGUGCAGUCUGGAGAGCCUCUGCAUGUUCAUCCUGUAGGAGGGAUCGUUCAAAACUCUCUUCACAGCUGCCAGGAAGUUGUCGUCCUUGUCCACAGUCCUAAGGCUCAGAAUCUCAGCUCCUCCUCUCUCUUUCAGACGCAAGCAGGUUGUCAUAUUGGUCAAAAAACCACAGGUAGACUACAACUGGGACUCCAUGAUACAUAGCUUCCUGAACUCCGUUCGUUCCUCCGUGAGCCACAAACAGUUUUGUUUUGGGAUGUCCUAAGAGAUCAUUCUGAGGCAUCCAGUCCACCAGUAAAGUGUUGUUUGCCCAGAGUUUGCUGGUCUGUCCCCUUCAUGUUUCCAGAUGAUCUUCUGAGGCAAUUAGCAAAAGCUGCAGCCGA